GGCUGGUCCGAAGAUAUUGAGUUAUCUUAAUUGAUUGUUCACAGUCAGUUACAGAUUGAACUCCUUGUUCUACUCUUUCCCCCCUUCUCACUACUGCACUUGACUAGUCUUUA
Molecule: Y RNA, 113 nt
Filed under: Cebus imitator (Panamanian white-faced capuchin)
Lineage: Eukaryota; Metazoa; Chordata; Mammalia; Primates; Cebidae
Description: Y RNA (ENSCCAG00000000711.1)
Rfam family: Y RNA
About the family: Y RNAs are components of the Ro ribonucleoprotein particle (Ro RNP), in association with Ro60 and La proteins. The Y RNAs and Ro60 and La proteins are well conserved, but the function of the Ro RNP is not known. In humans the RNA component can be one of four small RNAs -- hY1, hY3, hY4 and hY5.
Source: Rfam by way of RNAcentral